Molecule: ribosomal RNA, 427 nt
Filed under: uncultured bacterium
Lineage: Bacteria
Description: partial 16S ribosomal RNA
Rfam family: Bacterial small subunit ribosomal RNA
Source: RNAcentral
UGGGGAAUAUUGCACAAUGGGCGCAAGCCUGAUGCAGCCAUGCCGCGGGUAUGAAGAAGGCCUUCGGGUUGUAAAGUACUUUCAGCGGGGAGGAAGGCGAUAAGGUUAAUAACCUUGUCGAUUGACGUUACCCGCAGAAGAAGCACCGGCUAACUCCGUGCCAGCAGCCGCGGUAAUACGGAGGGUGCAAGCGUUAAUCGGAAUUACUGGGCGUAAAGCGCACGCAGGCGGUCUGUCAAGUCGGAUGUGAAAUCCCCGGGCUCAACCUGGGAACUGCAUUCGAAACUGGCAGGCUAGAGUCUUGUAGAGGGGGGUAGAAUUCCAGGUGUAGCGGUGAAAUGCGUAGAGAUCUGGAGGAAUACCGGUGGCGAAGGCGGCCCCCUGGACAAAGACUGACGCUCAGGUGCGAAAGCGUGGGGAGCAAACA